CCUACGGGAGUCAGCAGUAGGGAAUCUUCGGCAAUGGGGGCAACCCUGACCGAGCAACGCCGCGUGAGUGAAGAAGGUUUUCGGAUCGUAAAGCUCUGUUGUAAGAGAAGAACGAGUGUGAGAGUGGAAAGUUCACACUGUGACGGUAACUUACCAGAAAGGGACGGCUAACUACGUGCCAGCAGCCGCGGUAAUACGUAGGUCCCGAGCGUUAUCCGGAUUUAUUGGGCGUAAAGCGAGCGCAGGCGGUUAGAUAAGUCUGAAGUUAAAGGCUGUGGCUUAACCAUAGUACGCUUUGGAAACUGUUUAACUUGAGUGCAGAAGGGGAGAGUGGAAUUCCAUGUGUAGCGGUGAAAUGCGUAGAUAUAUGGAGGAACACCGGUGGCGAAAGCGGCUCUCUGGUCUGUAACUGACGCUGAGGCUCGAAAGCGUGGGGAGCAAACAGGAUUAGAUACCCCAGUAGUC
This 465-nucleotide ribosomal RNA is filed under the name uncultured Streptococcus sp. RNAcentral's name for it is "bacterial SSU rRNA". It matches the Rfam family "Bacterial small subunit ribosomal RNA", at positions 338 to 795 of the family's 1533-position model. Lineage: Bacteria; Bacillati; Bacillota; Bacilli; Lactobacillales; Streptococcaceae. The record is from RNAcentral.